RNAcentral lists this long non-coding RNA (259 nucleotides) under Olea europaea subsp. europaea. The record is from RNAcentral. Lineage: Eukaryota; Viridiplantae; Streptophyta; Magnoliopsida; Lamiales; Oleaceae.
GGUUAGCUAUCGAACCAAAAGUUAGCCCACGCAAAUCAAUUCUUUUACUGAAUUUUGUUAAUUUUGGUAACAGUUAUCGACAAAACAGUCAAAUUACAGUACACGAAUUGAACUAUCAAAAUCCGAGAAUGGGUUAUUGGUGGAUGAUAGCUGUGCAACAUGUUCCACCACUGGACGAAGUUGCUGAUAUUCUUAGAAAAGCACCGUUUCUGGGACUGUUUGCAUUUAUUUAUCAAAAAAGCAUGAUUUGAUCUUGGAU